Molecule: long non-coding RNA, 615 nt
Filed under: Oryctolagus cuniculus (rabbit)
Lineage: Eukaryota; Metazoa; Chordata; Mammalia; Lagomorpha; Leporidae
Description: lncRNA (ENSOCUG00000035905.1)
Source: RNAcentral
GCAGGCGGCCAAGAAGGCCAAGGCGGGCGCCACCCGCGCAGCUCAGUCGGCCUGGAGCUCAAGGCAUCUGCGAUGAGUGAGACCUCUUCCAUCCCAGUGGAAAUUCCUGGUCUGCGGAGAAGAGAAAGGACCCCUGAAUUCUGAUGGUUGGAAAUGUCCUGUCGGUUUCUCAAGGGGAUUAACAUCUCUCCGACUCUUGCCCUGCAAAGCCAUCACUUGUACAGGGCAGAGACAGCCGACCGCCCAGGGUGGAAAAUGGAGACAACUGGCUUUCCACGCCUUUCCCAGAAGCAUUUCUGGCCGAGGGAGGAGAGCACAAGGCCUCGGCGCUGGCCCUGCCGGGUUCAUGGCCCUGAGCAGCAGGUGCCCAGAGGGGAAGAAGGGGCUGCAGUGGUGGCAGCCGCGUGUCACCCAACGUGGAAAGCGAGGGGCUUUGGUCCAGAGCUGGUUCAUCUGCCUCCCACAGGCUCAGACUCAGCCCUGGAGGUGCCCCAGGCUGUAGGACAUGAGCCCCCAAGCUGGGUAGGGGCUGCAGGAGAAAGGGGUGUUCAAGGUGGGGGGGCCACGGCAGGGAACACCCUCGGCUUGGGCCCCUUCUGGUUGACAGCCCACUGA